RNAcentral lists this ribosomal RNA (491 nucleotides) under uncultured bacterium. Its description in RNAcentral is "partial 16S ribosomal RNA". It matches the Rfam family "Bacterial small subunit ribosomal RNA", at positions 29 to 506 of the family's 1533-position model. The record is from RNAcentral.
AGUGAACGCUGGCGGUAGGCCUAACACAUGCAAGUCGAACGGCAGCACAGUAAGAGCUUGCUCUUACGGGUGGCGAGUGGCGGACGGGUGAGGAAUACAUCGGAAUCUACUUUUUCGUGGGGGAUAACGUAGGGAAACUUACGCUAAUACCGCAUACGACCUACGGGUGAAAGCAGGAGAUCUUCGGACCUUGCGCGAUUGAAUGAGCCGAUGUCGGAUUAGCUAGUUGGCGGGGUAAAGGCCCACCAAGGCGACGAUCCGUAGCUGGUCUGAGAGGACGAUCAGCCACACUGGAACUGAGACACGGUCCAGACUCCUACGGGAGGCAGCAGUGGGGAAUAUUGGACAAUGGGCGCAAGCCUGAUCCAGCCAUACCGCGUGGGUGAAGAAGGCCUUCGGGUUGUAAAGCCCUUUUGUUGGGAAAGAAAAGCAGCAGGUUAAUACCCCGCUGUUCUGACGGUACCCAAAGAAUAAGCACCGGCUAACUUCGU